CUCAGGUAGAAUAAUAUCCAAAGACAAUGGACUAAAGAGGACAAUGGCCUCUUAUCACUACUUCUCAAUAAAAUAAAAUAGUAAAAAUGUAGCCAUUUCAAUAUUUUCUUAAGUAAAUACUGAAAAUCCUUAUUGUCAUUAUGUUCUAAUAUUUCACUGAUGACAUGAAAGCAUUCUGAAGAAUGCACAGUAGGCAUUUUUCCAUUUGCAAAUUUAACAUUCAAGGUUUUGAUGAUUUGUGAGAGAAAGUGGAGGACUAUGACAUGUAGCAAUUUGUAAUUUUGCUAAGGCACUAAUCUGAAUCACCCCCACUGUGAGCUGGUAUGUGGGGAAUUAGUCAUUUAGGUGGUGAAUAAGCCAGUACCUGCAUUUUGAUGUUAGUUUGUUGCUCGCUAGUGCUUUUCAUAAAUCUAGGGGGUUCUUAAAAGUCUCAGGAAAAAUGCCAAGAGUCUAUUGUAUAGCUCAAUACUCUUAGGUGUUGGACUCAUAACAUGCAAAACUGCAUAUUGCCUCUCGUAACACAGAUAAAUCUCCCUGGGAUGACCCUAUCUGACUACCAGAGCCACUUGCAGGUGACCAGAGUGGUCAAAACCAGACAGUGAGAUCCUAAGAGAUGGGGACUAAGUUUGUUUACCUUUGUACUCCAGGGCCUUGUACAGGUCUGGCACCUAGAGCAUCCUCAAUACUGUUUGCUGAAUGGGAAAAGGAAAGAAUGAAUGUGGGAAGAGACUUCAUCUGAAGAUCCACAUCCCUGGUGCCAGCAGAGAAUGUCCCUCAGCUGAUUUCAAGAACUUGGUACUCAGGAGGGAGAUAAUGGAUGGUUAGCAAACCUAAAUAUCUGCACAACUUGGAUCACUUACGGGAAGCUAGGACUUUGGAGAGAGGUAAAGAUUAGAUAGUCCAAAGGCCACUGAGGCAGGAGUCAAGCAGGGAGGGAAACCCUGAACAAAAGACAGCAAUAAAGAGAAGGUUGCACUGGUCAGCUCACGAAUUCCAAGAGCACAGGACCUGAAUGGGAGAGGAUGGCACAGCUGUGUUUUGAAGUAACCUUGUCCCUCUUGAGGCCCAGACAAGCCACACCUGGCCAGAUUCUGCCACUCAGCACUGAUCUACAUCCUCCCCUUUUAAAUCAAUUGCAAAAACCUCCCAAUUGUCUUAAUUACCACCAACUGCCCAAUCAACUGCCCCCUCACGGAACAACACCCCGGUGUAGAUCGAAGCUCAAUUAGCCAGGAGCAGAGAAUUUAAAACAAACCCAAACCCACCCAUACACACACUCACAGAGCUUUGGUGUUGUGUUGCCUUUUGUGAUUGCAAAGCCCUACACUCUCGCUAUUGCAAGCAUGGUCCAUGGACCAGCACCAGCAUCAUUGUCGAAGAGGAUGCUAAAGGGCAGAAUCUCAAGCCCUCCCUCUGGACCUACCGAAUCAGAAUCUGCAUUUUAACAGAAUCCCCAGGUGAUUCCAUAUGCCCAUUAAAUUUGAGAAGCCCUGCCCACCACCACCUGAGCCCUGCCUACUCCUCUCACAUAGUUUGAUCACUUCCCCCUUGACCACCAUGUUCCAGCCAUCCCAACCAUUCUGCUCCUCAAACACGCCACACUCAUUCCCAACGUAGGGUCUCUGUCCUCCCUGUUCCCUCUGUCUGGAACCACGGAUGGGCUUUCUUGACAUUCACAUCUCGACUUAAAUGUCAGUUCUUCACGGAGGCCUUCUCUCAGCACACAAUCCAAACGAAAUUCCUGAGCACUCUCAGCCAUGUUAUGCAAUGUUACUUCUGUGCAUAGUGCCAUGGCUCUCACCCUUGUGUAUAUCAGAACCACCUAGAGAAUUUCUCAAGAAAAACAAACUCCUGUGCCCACUCCCCCAGAUUUCUGAUUCAGUAGGAACAACAUGGUUCUGAAAUGAGAAUUCUGAGAAUUUGCAUUUCUAACAAGUUCUUGGGUGACACUGAUCCUGUUAGUCUAGAACCACCCUUUCAGAAUCAUGAGCACUGUCUCACCAUCGAAUGAUAUUUUUCUUGAUCAUUCUUUCCUGUACAGUCAUCUCCACUGCACCAGUGUCCAUUCCCUGAGACUAGGAAGUCUGUAUGUUUUGUUCACCCUGUAUCUCCAGUGCUCUAUACAUAGCAGGUGCUCUUUAAUAUUUGUUGAAUAAAGAACGGGAUUCACUAGUAACCAAUUUUUCCAUUAUGGAUUUUGCAUCUUUUGUGUUUGGCUUGCUCUAAGGUAGCAACAACUUUGCAUUCCAUCAUGUGCCUAUCUGUAAGUUGUCAUGAGAGAUUUGCAUUCAUUAACCAUAGUUUAACUUACAAAAAUGCAUGCCCCACACAGACAAUUGAGAGCUGACUAUGUUUUAUCUAAUCCAUCUGUUAUUGACAGUAUAUUUUUACGUGGUUGACUUUACUAGUUGUUCUUCUACUUGAAGACAGAGACUCCAUCCAAUCCCACACCAAGGAAAUAGCCCCUUCUUUUUAACAUGAGCUCCGUUAUAUUCAGUAACUUGAAUGCAACAUCCUUUUACACACAAAACUGAAA
Equus caballus (horse) is the source of this 2536-nucleotide long non-coding RNA. The record is from Ensembl. Lineage: Eukaryota; Metazoa; Chordata; Mammalia; Perissodactyla; Equidae.